Molecule: ribosomal RNA, 404 nt
Filed under: uncultured bacterium
Lineage: Bacteria
Description: partial 16S ribosomal RNA
Rfam family: Bacterial small subunit ribosomal RNA
Source: RNAcentral
AUUGAACGCUGGCGGCAGGCCUAACACAUGCAAGUCGAGCGAGCGGCGGACGGGUGAGUCAUGCCUGGGAAUUGCCCAGUCGAGGGGGAUAACAGUUGGAAACGACUGCUAAUACCGCAUACGAUUGGAUUGUCUCGGUGGGAUUAGGUAUUGGGUGAGGUAAUGGCUCACCAAGGCGACGAUCCCUCGCGGGUCUGGGAGGAUGGCCAGCAACACGGGAACUGAGACACGGUCCAAAUCCCUACGGAAGGCAGCAGUGGGGAAUAUUGCACAAUGGGGGAAACCCGGAGGCAGCCAUGCCGCGGGUGUGAAGAGGGCCUUCGGGUUGUAAAGCACUUUCAGCGAGGAGGCGUUACUCGCAGAAGAAGCACCGGCUAACUCCGUACCAGCAGCCGCGGUAAUUC